RNAcentral lists this unclassified non-coding RNA (389 nucleotides) under fungal sp. RNAcentral describes it as "partial internal transcribed spacer region". The stretch from base 1 to 46 matches the Rfam family "Eukaryotic small subunit ribosomal RNA", at positions 1786 to 1831 of the family's 1831-position model. The record is from RNAcentral. Lineage: Eukaryota; Fungi.
AAGUCGUAACAAGGUUUCCGUAGGUGAACCUGCGGAAGGAUCAUUAACAGAUUCUGCUAGUCAGAUAUCUAACCCGUGUGAACUGUUCUUUAGCCUUGGUACCCAAGAUCUUACUCCUCUGGGGGUCUGAUCUAAGUACCAUCCAUUUUUACCCUUUAACUUUGAGUGCUGAGUAAACCAAAAAAGACUAGAAAACUUUUAGGGAAGUGCCACAUAUUACGUAAUACGUUUUGGGUAGGAGGGGGUCAGCUGGCCGUGUUAUGUUCCUAAGUAAAGUAAUUAUUGGCAGCACUCAAAGGGUUAAGUAGGAGGGGAGGGUGUCAAAAAACGGCCAUUUUACUAUUACGUAAUAUGUGGCACUUCCCUUAGCAACGGAUCUCUAGGCUCUU